GUGUGGGGGGUCUGACCCCUCCCGUGCCGCAGCUAACGCAAUAAGUAUUCCACCUGGGGAGUACGAUCGCAAGAUUGAAACUCAAAGGAAUUGACGGGGGCCCGCACAAGCGGUGGAUUAUGUGGUUUAAUUCGAAGCAACGCGAAGAACCUUACCAGGGCUUGACAUCCUACUAACGAGGUAGAGAUACGUCAGGUGCCCUUCGGGGAAAGUAGAGACAGGUGGUGCAUGGUUGUCGUCAGCUCGUGUCGUGAGAUGUUGGGUUAAGUCCCGCAACGAGCGCAACCCUUAUUGUUAGUUGCUACGCAAGAGCACUCUAGCGAGACUGCCGUUGACAAAACGGAGGAAGGUGGGGACGACGUCAAAUCAUCAUGCCCCUUAUGCCCUGGGCUACACACGUAAUACAAUGGCGGCCAACAGAGGGAAGCAAUACCGCGAGGUGGAGCAAAUCCCCAAAAGCCGUCUCAGUUCGGAUCGCAGGCUGCAACUCGCCUGCGUGAAGUCGGAAUCGCUAGUAAUCGCGGAUCAGCACGCCGCGGUGAAUACGUUCCCGGGCCUUGUACACACCGCCCGUCACACCAUGAGAGUCGGGAACACCCGAAGUCCGUAGCCUAACCGCAAGGAGGGCGCGGCCGAAGGUGGGUUUGAUAAUUAGGGUGAAGUCGUAACAAGGUAGCCG
Molecule: ribosomal RNA, 679 nt
Filed under: uncultured bacterium
Lineage: Bacteria
Description: bacterial SSU rRNA
Rfam family: Bacterial small subunit ribosomal RNA
Source: RNAcentral